CAAGGAAAUUAUUUAUCAGUAAGUUCCACACCCACCCCAAGCUCCACAGUGCUUCGUCAAUGCUUACCUCGUGUUAGACCAGCAUCUCGUCUGUUCUCC
RNAcentral lists this unclassified non-coding RNA (99 nucleotides) under Komagataella phaffii CBS 7435. The record is from RNAcentral. Lineage: Eukaryota; Fungi; Ascomycota; Pichiomycetes; Pichiales; Pichiaceae.